UUCCGGGGACCGACAUGAAAGGACUCCAACUCACAGAGUGCAUGAUGUAAUCGCCGCGGCCGCUCCACGUUUUCGACAUUGUUGUCAUGUGCGAUUCUUUGACCCUUUUCUCAUUGAAGUGACAGUUGAGGGACUUUGUGGUGCAGUGUAGUGUCCCCUGUUUUAAGUCCCACCUGCUCCAGAGUAUUGGAGUUUAUCCGUGUAAAUAAUCAGUCAUUUGGGGCAGCAGCAGCAUCCAUAACACCUCUCCACUGAACAGACCAGACCUCUGCAUCAUCUCCUUCAUAAGCUCUGAUGAAGAAGCCACAGAUUCCACAGAGGAAGCAGCAGCAAGGCUGCCUCCUGCACCCUCCACCAGCUCAGGUGCUGAUGCCUUGGUCUGGAUUUUUCCUGAGCCAACAUAAGUUGGAAUCCUUUUAAGAUGACCGGCUGUAUCAAUUCUGGGUUCCUGACCCCAUUCUACAAAUUUCUAAUUUUCAGAAGUGGCUUUCAAGGCUGUCAUCUGGUUCAGAUCACAAAAUCUUGGCUGAGAGCCCUGACAUCUAUUGCUCUGUUUGAGCACCUGAUCCUCUGCUUGAUUGGUAUCUUUGGCCACCUGAUUCAGCUUUCAAUUUCACAAUAUUUAUUUACACAAAAUUAAGAGGUUUGAAAUGGUUGCAGUUUCAGCUUACUUUAAAAAGGUCUGGAUGUUUGAUACUUUUGCUGGGUUGUAGUGAAUAGGAGAUAUUCAAUGUAUUAGAAAGUUAUUAAUGACUUACAUUUUAAAAAAAAAAUGUUUUAACAGACCCUGCUGCCAUGACAGCAUUCAUUGCUUCUAUACAGCAUGUGAUGGGGGAAUGAGCAUGGAGGUGACAUGGCCUUGCUGAGAAAUAUCAGAGACUAUAGUGAUUUGGUAGGAAGUGGGAUUGUGCAAGGCUGAGGUGAUGUGAGAGCUUGAGGGCCUUUCUGUUUUUAUUGUAAUUCAAUCGAAGUGCCAUAUAUCUGAGGUGGGCCUACUAAACAGGCCCCCUCUGGUCUCGGGAGAAAGUGAGGACUACAG
Chiloscyllium plagiosum (whitespotted bambooshark) is the source of this 1039-nucleotide long non-coding RNA. RefSeq lists it as uncharacterized. NCBI's taxonomy places the organism in Eukaryota, Metazoa, Chordata, Chondrichthyes, Orectolobiformes, Hemiscylliidae. The record is from RefSeq and is a predicted model, not a curated record.